RNAcentral lists this ribosomal RNA (245 nucleotides) under uncultured bacterium. RNAcentral's name for it is "partial 16S ribosomal RNA". It matches the Rfam family "Bacterial small subunit ribosomal RNA", at positions 524 to 768 of the family's 1533-position model. The record is from RNAcentral.
UACGUAGGUGGCGAGCGUUGUCCGGAUUUACUGGGCGUAAAGAGCGCGCAGGCGGUCGGAUUAGUCGAGUGUGAAAGCCCCCGGCUCAACUGGGGAGGGUCACUCGAUACUGUUCGACUCGAAGACGGGAGAGGGACGCGGAAUUCCCGGUGUAGUGGUGAAAUGCGUAGAUAUCGGGAGGAACACCAGUGGCGAAGGCGGCGUUCUGGCCCGCUCUUGACGCUGAGGCGCGAAAGCCAGGGGAG